GGCAGGAUGGCCGAGUGGUCUAAGGCGCUGUCCUCGAAAGACAGUAUCUUCGGAUACCUGGGUUCAAAUCCCAGUCCUGUCG
Molecule: transfer RNA, 82 nt
Filed under: Talaromyces stipitatus ATCC 10500
Lineage: Eukaryota; Fungi; Ascomycota; Eurotiomycetes; Eurotiales; Trichocomaceae
Description: tRNA-Ser (CGA) (tRNA-Ser-CGA-2-1)
Rfam family: tRNA
About the family: Transfer RNA (tRNA) molecules are approximately 80 nucleotides in length. Their secondary structure includes four short double-helical elements and three loops (D, anti-codon, and T loops).
Source: RNAcentral